CCUACGGGAGGCAGCAGUGGGGAAUAUURGACAAUGGGCGAAAGCCUGAUCCAGCAAUGCGGCGUGUGUGAAGAAGGUCUUCGGAUUGUAAAGCACUUUAAGCUGGGAGGAAGGGCAGUAAAUUAAUACUUUGCUGUUUUGACGUUACCGACAGAAUAAGCACCGGCUAACUCUGUGCC
This 179-nucleotide ribosomal RNA is filed under the name uncultured bacterium. RNAcentral describes it as "partial 16S ribosomal RNA". It matches the Rfam family "Bacterial small subunit ribosomal RNA", at positions 338 to 509 of the family's 1533-position model. The record is from RNAcentral.